Molecule: ribosomal RNA, 433 nt
Filed under: uncultured bacterium
Lineage: Bacteria
Description: partial 16S ribosomal RNA
Rfam family: Bacterial small subunit ribosomal RNA
Source: RNAcentral
AACGAACGCUGGCGGCAUGCCUAACACAUGCAAGUCGAACGAGACCUUCGGGUCUAGAGGCGCACGGGUGCGUAACGCGUGGGAACCUGCCCUUAGGUUCGGAAUAACUUCCCGAAAGGGGUGCUAAUACCGGAUAAUGUCUACGGACCAAAGAUUUAUCGCCUUUGGUUGGGCCCGCGUUGGAUUAGCUAGUUGGUAGGGUAAAAGCCUACCAAGGCGACAAUCCAUAGCUGGUCUGAGAGGAUGAUCAGCCACACUGGGACUGAGACACGGCCCAGACUCCUACGGGAAGCAGCAGUGGGGAAUAUUGGACAAUGGGCGAAAGCCUGAUCCAGCAAUGCCGCGUGAGUGAUGAAGGCCUUAGGGUUGUAAAGCUCUUUUACCCGGGAUGAUAAUGACAGUACCGUGAGAAUAAGCUCCGGCUAACUCCGUG